GGGAAUGAGAAGAACUACCGGACUUAAGGUGACCCGAGAAGAUUUUUCUGAGGAGGUUACUUUGUCACAUCAGCAAGAGGAAAACUCCAACCAUGGAGAUAAGAUGUGGACUUCGCCUCUCUUCUGGCCGAACUUCCUACCGUGACCAUGCUGUGAUUGGGGGCCUUUCCAGCGUUCAGCACAGCCUCUCGUGCUGCCCUACCCUGCCUAUGACUGAGCUGGGACCAGAAGUACCAGGACAAGAACCAAUUUUGGAGCAUGAAAUUGAGACGGGUGGGAGAUUUAAAGCCCCAUUGGCUCCUGGGAGAAAUGGAGAGACUCAAUGAAUAUAAGAAAUGGGGGGUCGGGCAUGAUGACUCAAACCUGUAAUCCCAACACUUUGGGAGGCGGAGGCAGGCAGAUCACUUGAGAUCAAAAGUUCAAGACCAGCCUGGCCAACAUGAUAAAAUCCCGUCUCUACUAAAAAUACAAAAAGCUAGCCAGGCAUGGUGGUACACACCUGUAAUCUCAGUUACUUGGGAGGCUGAGGCAGGAGAAAUCGCUUGAACCCGGGAGGUGGAGGUUGCAGUGAACUGAGAUUGCACCACUGCACUCCAGCCUGAGUAAUAAACUCUGUCUCAAAAAAA
Molecule: long non-coding RNA, 626 nt
Filed under: Homo sapiens (human)
Lineage: Eukaryota; Metazoa; Chordata; Mammalia; Primates; Hominidae
Description: HSALNT0054953
Source: RNAcentral